This 347-nucleotide ribosomal RNA is filed under the name uncultured eukaryote. Its description in RNAcentral is "SSU rRNA". It matches the Rfam family "Eukaryotic small subunit ribosomal RNA", at positions 594 to 945 of the family's 1831-position model. The record is from RNAcentral.
AUAGCGUAUAUUAAAGUUGUUGCAGUUAAAAAGCUCGUAGUUGAACUUCAGACCUGGCCGGGCGGUCCGCUUAACGGCGUGUACUGUCUGGCUGGGUCUUACCUCUUGGGGAGCCGUCGUGCCCUUUAUUGGCGUGCGUCGGGGAACCAGGACUUUUACCUUGAGAAAAUUAGAGUGUUCAAAGCAGGCCUAUGCCCGAAUACAUUAGCAUGGAAUAAUAGAAUAGGACGUGUGGUUCUAUUUUGUUGGUUUCUAGAGUCGCCGUAAUGAUUAAUAGGGAUAGUUGGGGGCAUUGGUAUUGAGUCGCUAGAGGUGAAAUUCUUGGAUUGACUCAAGACCGACUAUUG